This 460-nucleotide ribosomal RNA is filed under the name uncultured bacterium. RNAcentral describes it as "partial 16S ribosomal RNA". It matches the Rfam family "Bacterial small subunit ribosomal RNA", at positions 338 to 795 of the family's 1533-position model. The record is from RNAcentral.
CCUACGGGCGGCAGCAGUGAGGAAUAUUGGUCAAUGGGCGAGAGCCUGAACCAGCCAAGUCGCGUGAAGGAUGAAGGAUCUAUGGUUUGUAAACUUCUUUUAUAUGGGAAUAAAGUGAGGAACGUGUUCCUUUUUGUAUGUACCAUAUGAAUAAGCAUCGGCUAACUCCGUGCCAGCAGCCGCGGUAAUACGGAGGAUGCGAGCGUUAUCCGGAUUUAUUGGGUUUAAAGGGUGCGUAGGUGGUUGAUUAAGUCAGUGGUGAAAGUUUGUGGCUCAACCAUAAAAUUGCCGUUGAAACUGAGGGUCUUGAGUGGGCGAGAGGUAGGCGGAAUGCGUGGUGUAGCGGUGAAAUGCAUAGAUAUCACGCAGAACUCCGAUUGCGAAGGCAGCAUACCGGAGCGCAACUGACGCUGAAGCACGAAAGCGUGGGUAUCGAACAGGAUUAGAUACCCCAGUAGUC